UUAUUUCUUUUUGAGUCAUAUGAAGAAAAAAAUAAACUUUGGUUUAAGCUUGUUAGCUUUACUUUUGUACAAUAGCACUUGUCUUACUGAACCACAUAAUGAAAUUAGAAGCUGCCAGAUGUCAAUCAGCGUGGCCCCAGGUUUGGGACCCUCCUCUGGAAGAAAAACGAGUGACUGAAAAUGAGUGAAGGCUUUCCCCAGUGCUGUUCCCAACAGCAUCCAAUGUGUAGACCCCUACAUGCAAAGAGACCCCAAUGCCUUCUCAGUUCCACAUGCUGUCGAUGCCUCAGAUCGUCCUGGUUGCUGUCUAUACUCACCUUGUUGACUACCCAAAGAUAUGGACCUGCUGAAUUCUUGACCUCCAUAAAGUCAAUGGUCUUCACCCCAUCCGCAUUUUGGCCAUCUUUUCCCUGGCCACCUCUCAGACCUUUGCACCAUCCCAAAGCACACUGCCUUCUAAAUGUGAGAUGUGCCUUGUUUACUUUUUACUUCUGAUUUGAUUCCUAAUUUUUUGUUUUAUUGUGUGGAUACUAUGCAUAUAAAAGAAUAUAAAGAAAGUGUACAUGUAUAUAAAAAAUAUAAGCAUGUCACCCAGCAUAGUAAAAACACUUUUAUCCGAGA
This 621-nucleotide long non-coding RNA is filed under the name Homo sapiens (human). RNAcentral's name for it is "HSALNT0026844". The record is from RNAcentral. Lineage: Eukaryota; Metazoa; Chordata; Mammalia; Primates; Hominidae.